RNAcentral lists this ribosomal RNA (447 nucleotides) under uncultured bacterium. RNAcentral's name for it is "bacterial SSU rRNA". It matches the Rfam family "Bacterial small subunit ribosomal RNA", at positions 329 to 793 of the family's 1533-position model. The record is from RNAcentral.
UUCCAGACUCCUACGGGAGGCAGCAGUGGGGGAUAUUGCACAAUGGGGGAAACCCUGAUGCAGCGACGCCGCGUGAGUGAAGAAGUAAUUCGUUACGUAAAGCUCUAUCAGCAGGGAAGAAAAUGACGGUACCUGACUAAGAAGCCCCGGCUAACUACGUGCCAGCAGCCGCGGUAAUACGUAGGGGGCAAGCGUUAUCCGGAAUUACUGGGUGUAAAGGGAGCGCAGACGGCAGUGCAAGUCUGGAGUGAAAGCCCGUGGCUUAACUACGGGACUGCUCUGGAAACUGUGCAGCUAGAGUGCAGGAGAGGCAGGCGGAAUUCCUAGUGUAGCGGUGAAAUGCGUAGAUAUCACGAAGAACUCCGAUUGCGAAGGCAGCUUACUAAACUGCCACUGACAUUGAUGCUCGAAAGUGUGGGUAUCAAACAGGAUUAGAUACCCGCGUAC